AUAUAUAUAUAUAUAGGAUCAAAUGUUGAACAGGCAGCAUUCACUGCCAUAAAUCUCUUGACGGGAAACCCCGGAUGACGUACACGUCUCAGACACAGAAAUUGCACUUGUAGUGACACAACCAGGGUUUAUUGAUCUGACGCAGGAUUUUGAAGAACAUGGUCCUAGCACCGGCGAUGCUGAUAGGAUAACAGACGCCCUGCCUACUUACGCAGCAGCGAGAUCUCCAGCUGAACAAAUCAAUACUGCUGAACUGGUAGACCUCACGUCAGAUUCAGAUGAUGAGUCUGAGGUGUGUGUCAAUGUAGCUCCCAGGAAACGGAAAAACAUAGAUGACUCUACACCACACCAAACUCCUCAGGUUAAGCUAAUUAAUGAUAGAGGCAUCUGCUGUGCUGAACAAAUAAUCGACGUCACAUCGGAUUCUGACAUAGAGUCUGACGUUUCCGUCGUUGAACCUCAGAGGAAGCGGAAAAACAUAAGCGGAUCUAAUCUCACACCAAACUCCACAAGAUAGACACAUCAGGAGCGCUGAUGAUAUUUUAACAUGGACGGAAUCACAGGUCGUUGAAUGGGAUCGUUCGUCAUGGACCAGUGAUCGAUACGACGAGGCUACAGUGAGAGCCAGACAGACACCGUAUCCUUUUUACAUUGCUACGAAGAAAGAAGACGAAGAGGAAGAAGAAGUGCGGGAGACGGAGUGCAGAAACGAUGAGCAGUAUGAUGUUUGGACUCUGUUUCGUGAAAUCAAUAAAAGAUUAAAUGAUGAGGCCAUAGCGAGACGUAACAGCACAACUACCAUUAAUAGGCGUUUUGAUUAACUUAAUAGCAGAUUGGAUGACAUUAAUAUCAGAUUGGACGGUCACUUCAAAGAGAAUCAAAACAGAAUCGCCUCUGAAUUUUUAGCGAUUCAUAACAAAUUGGAUUACCAUUUUCAAAUAAAUUGUGACAGAAUAGCGGCAGAGUUUUUUGAAGUUCAUAACAGAUUGAAGCCGGUUAAUGCAUUGGUUCCUGAAAUAUUAGACCACUUAUAUCAGCUGAAUCAGUCAUUAGAGGAAUCUCUCCAUAGAAUGCAGACACGUAUCGAAGAGAAUCAUGAGCGUAUCCUUAGAGAAUUAAAUGAUCAGUUGAGAGAGAGACAAUUAACCGUUAGUCUUCUCAGCGCCAUGGUUACCUGUGUGCAUCCAAGUUAGAAAUGUAUAAUGGAUUAUGUAUUCAAUUCUAUGGUAUUAGUUACAUCUGAUUGUAGUUAUUUUUCAGAACAGAAAUGUCAUAUUUUUUCUGAUUGUCUAUUAUUUGUUUUUUUCUUUAAUUUUGUUUUAUUGCAUAUUAUGUUUUCGCUUUUGACCUAAAAAUAAAGAUUAAAAUGGAUGCAGAGAAAUCUUUUUCCACAGCUGAAGCACCCAACUGUCAACCAGACCAAACUCUCUCAGACUUGUUACAGAGUUUGCUUGAAAUAAACUUACAGAUUUAGCACUUGAUCAGGUCAUCAAACGCAAAAAGAUGUCGUUAUUCUGUCCCGCGAAUAUAUCAAAUAAAUUGUGCUUCUCUAUCUGUCUUGCGCAUUUCCUCAAUCCGCAAUCGCCCGAGAAUGAGUUAGAAAGACUGGAUGCGUCCAUCCAAAAUGACGCAGGCUUCUCAAUUCAAGACAAAAUUGGUUUGGGUGAUUUCAAUUCAUUUGAAAGUCUCUUAGACAUUAAAAUCGUCGUUUUUUACAGAACGAAUGCCGGUGGGUUAGAAACGUACAAAAAUCACAAUGAACCUCAUCCUAAAAUGGUAUGUCUCUAUUUGUACGACGAUCAUUACUAUAGGAUUCUGAAUUUGACCGCAUUCAUCUGCGUUGACUAUGUAUGCAAAUUUUGUUUCAAAGGCUACUCAACCCCUAGAGAUCAUCAAUGCAAGCACGUCUGCAACAUAUGUUUUGAUGCUGAUUGUUACAAACAUCCAGAAAGAACCAUGCAUUGCCCCAAUUGUUUGUGAUUACUGUCAAGUUAUUGUUACAACGCCCAUAAAAAAAACACAUCCUGUAUGGGAAAAAGCACCGUGCGACGCUAUAAAAUAUUGCAGACUGUGUAACAAACGAUACAGCGUCAUAGGUCAUGGUAAGAGUGAUCAACACAAAUGUAGUCCCAACCGUUGCUGCCAUUGUGGCGAAGAUCUGCACGAUCAUGGACUACACCAAUGCUUCAUACAGCCCAUAGUACCCAAAGAACCUAACAAGAAUGACAUUUUUUACGAUUUUGAAACACGUUAUCAAAAUGGAAAACAUAUAGCCAAUUUUGUUUGUGCGAUCACUUUUGAAGGAGAAAAAUUUGUGGCAGAAGGCCCCGGCUGUAUAGCACAGUUAAUCACGCACUUCAGACAGCCGCGAUACAAAGGAUACUGCUUCAUAGCUCAUUGUGCGGCCAGAUUUGAUUCAUUUCUAAUUCUGGAGUAUUUUUGCAAUGCCGGGAUUACCGGGAUUGCGUUAGAUGUCAUAAUCAGGGCUUGACAUUAACUUUUUUGCUCACCAGCCACUGUGGCUAGUGGCUUUCCAAAGUUACUAGCCACUCAGCAUUUUCACUGGCCACAAUUUUGCUGUUGGGAAAUUACAUUUUAUAUGAUUAAAGCUGACUUUGGCAUGCUUAAAUUA
RNA transcript from Megalobrama amblycephala (Wuchang bream), 2632 nucleotides. RefSeq lists it as uncharacterized. The record is from RefSeq and is a predicted model, not a curated record. NCBI's taxonomy places the organism in Eukaryota, Metazoa, Chordata, Actinopteri, Cypriniformes, Xenocyprididae. The transcript is spliced from 5 exons.